Molecule: ribosomal RNA, 396 nt
Filed under: Phytopythium sindhum
Lineage: Eukaryota; Oomycota; Peronosporomycetes; Pythiales; Pythiaceae
Description: partial small subunit ribosomal RNA
Rfam family: Eukaryotic small subunit ribosomal RNA
Source: RNAcentral
GCUUGUCUCAAAGAUUAAGCCAUGCAUGUCUAAGUAUAAACAAAUCUAUACGUGAAACUGCGAAUGGCUCAUUAUAUCAGUUAUAGUUUAUUUGAUGGUUCUUGCUACUUGGAUAACCGUAGUAAUUCUAGAGCUAAUACAUGCGUCAAACCUCGACUUCUGGGAGAGGUGUAUUUAUUAGAUUGAAACCAAUGCAGUCUUCGGGCUGGUAUUGUGUUGAGUCAUAAUAACUGUGCGGAUCGCGUUUUACGCGAUAAAUCGAUUGAGUUUCUGCCCUAUCAGCUUUGGAUGGUAGGAUAUGGGCCUACCAUGGCAUUAACGGGUAACGGGGAAUUAGGGUUUGAUUCCGGAGAGGGAGCCUUAGAAACGGCUACCACAUCCAAGGAAGGCAGCAGG